Molecule: ribosomal RNA, 449 nt
Filed under: uncultured bacterium
Lineage: Bacteria
Description: partial 16S ribosomal RNA
Rfam family: Bacterial small subunit ribosomal RNA
Source: RNAcentral
AACGAACGCUGGCGGCAUGCCUAACACAUGCAAGUCGAACGAAGCCUUCGGGCUUAGUGGCGCACGGGUGCGUAGCGCGUGGGAAUCUGCCCUUGGGUUCGGAAUAACAGUUAGAAAUGACUGCUAAUACCGGAGGAUGUCUUCGGACCAAAGAUUUAUCGCCCAAGGAUGAGCCCGCGUAGGAUUAGGUAGUUGGUGGGGUAAUGGCCCACCAAGCCGACGAUCCUUAGCUGGUCUGAGAGGAUGAUCAGCCACACUGGGACUGAGACACGGCCCAUGCUCCUACGGGAGGCAGCAGUGGGGAAUAUUGGACAAUGGGCGAAAGCCUGAUCCAGCAAUGCCGCGUGAGUGAUGAAGGCCUUAGGGUUGUAAAGCUCUUUUACCAGGUAUGAUAAUGACAGUACCUGGAGAAUAAGCUCCGGCUAACUCCGUGCCAGCCGCCGCCGUAA